This 68-nucleotide transfer RNA is filed under the name Neoeriocheir leptognathus. RNAcentral's name for it is "tRNA-Thr". It matches the Rfam family "tRNA". Rfam says of the family: Transfer RNA (tRNA) molecules are approximately 80 nucleotides in length. Their secondary structure includes four short double-helical elements and three loops (D, anti-codon, and T loops). Lineage: Eukaryota; Metazoa; Arthropoda; Malacostraca; Decapoda; Varunidae. The record is from RNAcentral.
GUUUUUAUAGUUUAAACUACCAAAACAUUGGUCUUGUAAACCAAUAAUGAAUUCUAUUUCUAAAAACU